RNAcentral lists this ribosomal RNA (412 nucleotides) under uncultured Acidobacteriaceae bacterium. RNAcentral's name for it is "bacterial SSU rRNA". It matches the Rfam family "Bacterial small subunit ribosomal RNA", at positions 55 to 499 of the family's 1533-position model. Lineage: Bacteria; Pseudomonadati; Acidobacteriota; Terriglobia; Terriglobales; Acidobacteriaceae. The record is from RNAcentral.
UUGCAAGUCGAACGAGAAAGGGGAGCAAUCCCUGAGUACAGUGGCGCACGGGUGAGUAACACGUGACUAAUCUACCCUCGAGCGGGGAAUAACCAAGGGAAACCUUGGCUAAUACCGCAUAAUACCUACGGGUCAAAGGAGCAAUCCACUUGAGGAGGAGGUCGCGGCCGAUUAGCUAGUUGGCGGGGUAAUGGCCCACCAAGGCAUUGAUCGGUAUCCGGCCUGAGAGGGCGCACGGACACACUGGAACUGAAACACGGUCCAGACUCCUACGGGAGGCAGCAGUGGGGAAUUUUGCGCAAUGGGGGAAACCCUGACGCAGCAACGCCGCGUGGAGGAUGAAGUCCCUUGGGACGUAAACUCCUUUCGAUCGGGACGAUAAUGACGGUACCGGAAGAAGAAGCCCCGGCUA